This 253-nucleotide ribosomal RNA is filed under the name uncultured bacterium. RNAcentral's name for it is "partial 16S ribosomal RNA". It matches the Rfam family "Bacterial small subunit ribosomal RNA", at positions 524 to 776 of the family's 1533-position model. The record is from RNAcentral.
GACGAACCGAGCGAACGUUAUUCGGAAUCACUGGGCUUAAAGGGCGCGUAGGCGGGCCGGCAAGUCCGGGGUGAAAUCCCCCAGCUCAACUGGGGAAGUGCCUCGGAUACUUCCGGCCUCGAGGGAGGUAGGGGCGUGCGGAACUUCCGGUGGAGCGGUGAAAUGCGUAGAUAUCGGAAGGAACACCGGUGGCGAAAGCGGCGCGCUGGACCUCUUCUGACGCUGGGGCGCGAAAGCCAGGGGAGCGAACGGG